Molecule: ribosomal RNA, 301 nt
Filed under: uncultured bacterium
Lineage: Bacteria
Description: partial 16S ribosomal RNA
Rfam family: Bacterial small subunit ribosomal RNA
Source: RNAcentral
CAGUAGCCACGGUAAUACGGAGGGUGCAAGCGUUAAUCGGAAUUACUGGGCGUAAAGCGCACGCAGGCGGUCUGACAAGUCAGAUGUGAAAUCCCCGGGCUUAACCUGGGAACUGCAUUUGAAACUGUCAGGCUGGAGUCUUGUAGAGGGGGGUAGAAUUCCAGGUGUAGCGGUGAAAUGCGUAGAGAUCUGGAGGAAUACCGGUGGCGAAGGCGGCCCCCUGGACAAAGACUGACGCUCAGGUGCGAAAGCGUGGGGAGCAAACAGGAUUAGAUACCCGGGUAGUCUCUGUCUCUUAUAC